This 73-nucleotide transfer RNA is filed under the name Tylostega tylostegalis. RNAcentral describes it as "tRNA-Leu". Lineage: Eukaryota; Metazoa; Arthropoda; Insecta; Lepidoptera; Crambidae. The record is from RNAcentral.
GCUAUUUUGGCAGAAAAGUGUGAUGGUUUUAGAAGUCAUGAAUAUAUGUGUAUUUAUGUACAUAUAAAUAGUA